AAAGAGGGCGAAACACACACACACAGACAGACCCAGCAGAGUGGCUGGCAUAUGACAGGUGCCCCACAAAAGAGAUUCUCUCUCCACCUUCCUUCUGCUGUUUCCUUUUCUGGAAUGAGAAUAGCUCAGUGUACAUGAUAAUAGACACAAGGGUCCAGAUUGAAGCUUCUGACGAUGCCAAGUGGCACUUCCUGACUUUAAGAGGGUUUGACAAAGAGUCAGGCAUCCACAACACCCCAAGUCAUGUGUUGAAGGCUGGGAAUACAGUGAUAAAGACAUCCCAGACAUGUGGUUCUAUCAUUCUGGAGCUUCUUUUCCGGUAGAAAGUGGAAAAGAAUCCCCUUUUUCUAGAGGUUAGGUAGAAAGGUCUUUCAACAGGAAGAAGCUGAACUGCUCUGAGACCUCAAAAGACCCAGGGGGGCAGGGAGAGGAUUGGGUCUGCUGGGUUCAGGGUGGAUUGGAGUUGCUUUGUGCCGCGUGGUUCCCUUGCACAUGCAGGCUCUACCCCGAUGUCACCGCCCACUGAGAUCACUGAGGCCUGCAGGUGGGUGGUGAAGCUCGGAUGUGGGGGCUCUAGAAGGUGCUCGACAGGAACAGACCCUUUCGUUGUUUAGGGCUCCAUCUCCACUCUCGACAGGCCAGCACCCUAGGGAGCUCUGACCUCCUGCAGCCUCUCUUUCUGCUCUGCUCUUGGCUGCAAAUUCCCUGGGCACAGUGCAGGCUCCAAGAGGCCAUUCUGAGGUCAUUCACGUAUGGAGUAUCGGCCAUCCAGGAGCAGCUAAAACUGUCAGUGACGCUGAAACACCCACAACCACCUUCUCUAAUCAUCCCUGAUGGGCCCUCCAAAAUCCACCCUUUACUCUCUCCCUGCUAAGGGCUGUGAGUUUAUUCCUAGGUUUUAUUGGAAAGUGUGAGGCUGGGAGAUAUGAAGUCCAAUAGACUUGACUCUAGCAACUGCUGCCAUUCCUUUUUAAAAUUGUUUUUCUUACUAUAGUUGAUUUACAAUGUUCUGUCCAUUUCUGCUAUACAGCAAAGUGACCCAGUCAUACAUAUAUGUGUGUGUGUAUGUAUAUAUAUAUACGUAUAUAUGUCCUUUUUCUCACAUUAUCCUCCAUCAUGUUCCGUCACAAGUAACUGCUAUAGUUUCCUGUGCUACACAGCAGGAUCUCGUUGCUUAUCCAUUCCAAAUGCAGUAGUUUGCAUCCAUUAACCCCAAAUUCCCAGUCCAUCCACCUCCCUCCACCUUGGCAACCACAAGUCUGUUCUCCAUGUCCAUGAGUCUGUUUCUUUGCUGUAGAUAGGUUCAUUUGUGCCCUAUAUUAGAUUCCAGAUAUAAGUGAUAUCACAUCUUUUUAGGCAUAAAAUGAGGCUCUUUGGGAGGUGGCUACAACAGCCACUUAGCAGCGGUUUCUUAAAUGCUGGAGACCUGGAGUUUGGAAUUAGAGGGAUUGUAAUAAACUUGUGCUUAUUUCAAAAUCCCAUGCUAGGGUUUAGAAAAUGCUAAAAAAGGAAAAAACCUAUGAAAAACCUCAAAACCUGAGUCCUCUACCACUUGGUAUGACACCAGUAUAUCAGUGGUGUUGACAGAGAAAAACACUCAACACCUCAAAAGGCUAUUGUAAACAGGUGAUUAAGGACUGAUUUUUUUCAGGAUUUGAGGACUCUGAAAUUAAUAUACAAGAGACAGCACAUUUUAAUAAGCUGUCAAUGAAGUAUACCAAAUAGAAAAUAUACGGCCGUCUGCUAUCGGAGCUGGCUGGCUGAAGAAUUGUUCUGCUUCAACUCAAUAAAGUAGGAGCCCUUAACAGAAUUAACUAUUAAGUUUUAAAAUAAGGGGAAAAAAGUAGAAGGAAUAAAAGUCUGCAGCAAAAAGACAAAACCCUAAAGGGAGAAUUCAAGAAAAUCUGUUUACUUGUAGUCUUUUUCAUUCCCUUAUGAAAGCUUUGUCAGUAGCUGAUGGGUCUUGUGCAUGCAUGAAGCCAGUUAAUCACAUUUAGGAAAUUUACAUGCUGUUAACUGCAUAUGAAACUCACUUAAGUGGGGCAGAUUUACUUCCCCAGAUCAGUCUUAUUUCAUUUACUCUAUUCCUAUUACUGACACGGAUUCAUCCUCACAUGGAUAUGACAGCCUUGACCACAACCCUUGCCUUUCAGGUGAGUGACAGCCCACAUGCAAUUCCGGAGCUUUCGGGAGAAGGUGUGAUUCUGAAGCUCCACACCAGACAUGUACAGUAAAUCAAUAAAGCAACUCACAUGCUUCAUGACUGGGUGCAGGCAUAGAAGGAGAUCAGCUUACAGAGAAUAAGUUCAAGGUGAGAAAACGUCUACCUUAGCCUUUUAAUUUUGGUUCAAGUUGGGAGCAAGUACCUAAAUGUUCUUCUCUUUCUAGGUGAAAGCACAUCUCCAGUGGCAGGUGAAAGUGGACAGAACUGCACUGUCCCAGGCUCGAACCUCAUUAGCAGCCAACUUGAUAUUUUUAGAGAGGGGAAAAAAAAAAUCACACGAAAUUGAUGUCAUGGUGAGAACUUUCAACGAAAUGAAUGAAGCGAAUGAAGAAAAUUGUGCUGGGUCGGUGACCCCCAAAUACUUGGAUCCACCCUCCUGCUCCUUUGGGGCUUAGGGUGAUGUUGUGGGCUCCUGGUACCUUUGGCACUUCUUUAAUUCGAGAUGGAUAGGAAGUUCCAACAGAGAGCUUGGGCUCAGGGUGGAGAGGAAGGAUGCAGUGAAGAUAAGGAAACUCAAGGAUGCUGGCCCUACAAGGCUGUUCUCUAAACCCAGCCUGAGUUAUAAAUGAUCAAGUAAGGGGUUUUCUCUUUGGCCCUGAGGCUAUUUCAUUAUGGGGUGGGGGUAGGGGGGUGGAAUCUUGCUGUUCAGAGCUUCAAGAUUAGAAGUUUUGAAACUUCACUACUUUCCCAGCUGAUCCAGCAAAGCAUGAUGCUCUUUGUCCUAUGAAAAUAUAGGACAUAAUUACCAUGCUUCCAACGUAGGCAGUGUUGCCUUGUGUAUAAAAUGGGAUUAAUAUUAGUACCCACCAAAGUACCUUAUAAAAGGUAGCCAUGAGCAUGAAAUGAGAUAAUUCAUAAUGGCAGCCUCACAUAACACAAGGUCGAUGAACUUUAGCUGUUGUUGCUGCGGUUCUUGUGGAUAUUAUGGCCAUAUUUCCAUAGUAAGAAUUGUCCUCAGUCAUGAUACACAGAAGGCAAGCAUAUGAUAACACAGAGAGUGGAUGAGAGGCCGAAUGGGGACAUUUUUAUUGUGUCACUUCUGUUAACCCUAUACCUCGAGGGCUGGGGAACAUCUCCCAUCUUCCUUACAUUUUCACUCAGUGGUUAUCUAAUCCCAUUGAAAGAUAAUCUGGGAAAACUUUAAGAGCAAAAAGGUCCCCAAAGGUCUGUUCGAAGACUGAAUGUUUGAGUUAUUUUGUUUAUUUUAUUUUUAAUUUUUAGGGGUAAACUUGAAGAAAUAGUGUCAUCCACGUAGGCUUGGCAGCAGUGUUACUUGUGACAACUAAUUUUAUUAUUAGCAACAAAAGAAGCAGAACCAGGACCUUUUUUCCUGCCAUCUGCCUCCUUGGGUCCCUGAAUUUGCUCUUUCUCCCCUCAUUCCCUAGAGGGAGAUGAUUAUCUGUGAGUGAUUUCCAUGGUGCAGAAUUUCCUUCCAGAGUCUCCAUGCCCACGAUGGUUGUCUUAACUUGUCAAAUUCCAGGAAAGCAUCUGACUAUAGCCUGUUAUUCACAGAUUUCUAGAUCUACUGGGAUUUGAGAGUAUCCCCCAGGGUUUUCUGCAAUCAACAUAUAUAAUAGUACCAGGACUAGGUUUAGAAGCUGAAAACAUGGUGUGGCAUUAAUUUGGGCCAUUUUUCCAAACCAUUAUGCAUCGGUUGACCAAAUUAGCUGAAUGUGAUGUGAAUUGAUUAAGGUGGCUAGAUGUACUAAUUGAUUGUACUGAAACAAAAAUCCUUUUGAUUGGAUAGGUGCAGACCCUUUUGACUGGAAAGAUACACUGCACUGUAGAGCUGUUAUGUCCCUGCAGUGACUUUAUUUGGCUCACAUGUACUGGCCAAAGGUGAAAGGUGAAAGGUGAAAAGUAGGCAAAGGCCAUUCUGCUUUAGAUAAUGAUAUGGAAUGGGUGUCUGGUAUGGAUUGUAGAAAUUUGUGCCCAGGCUCGGCCAUGAUCGAUGUCAACUGUCACUAAAGUGGACAAGAUGGUAAAAAUGAAGCAAAGGCCAUGAGGAAAAAGGAUGUGUUUGUUGUCCAUGGGAUGUUCUUCCAAGGGCCUGCUGCCUAGUACAUACUGUUCUUUCUCAUUCCAAGUCACUGAGAUAAGUGAAAAACAAAAAUAAACCCUGGAUACACAGUCGAUGGAAAUGCAGAGACAAGAGACGAGAGUACAAUCCAGAAAGGCUUGCCGAGUCCAGUUUUAUCAGAAUCUUAUCAGAUGGGCCCUCCAUCUCCUGGCUGUGGGGUUAAGCAUAUUGUGCUACGGUCGACCUCCCUGGGCUCUGGGCCAAGCUCACCGGUUUCAUCCCCUGGCUGACAGUGGGCAGUUAGAUCCCCUCACUUCUCUGCCUCUCAGUGUAUCUCAUCAGUGAAUUGGGUACAAUCGACCCUAUCUCACAGGGUUGUGUUAAGCCUUUGCCGAGAUAAAAUUAUGUAAAGCACGUGGCGCAGUGUCUGACACAUUGUAAAUCUUCACCUGUAAGUUCUUGUUUCUCCUCAUCACCAUUCUCAUGGGAGGAUGUCCUCCCUCUUCCUCAUCUCGGGUUUGUCUUGACUCCUCCAGCCUCUUCACACUGAGGCUCAGGUCCACUUCCUUCCAGAAGCCACUGUGCCGCCAAGCUGUUUCCAAGGGCAGCUUCCUGCUGUGGAGGCUUUAGGUCAGGUCCUGGCCGGGGAAAGAGGAGCGAGAGCCAACUCUCCCUGAGGGAGAGGCUUGAUGCCUCUGAACUACUGCCAGCAGACCCGAUUCCCCACUGGUAAGAUUAGCAUCUUUGCAGAAUCAGAAUAUGGUAUGAGAAGAAAUAAUUCAGAGUAAAUUAAAUGAUGACUCUGCAAUCAACUUGCAAGCUGCCCUUUUA
This 5075-nucleotide long non-coding RNA is filed under the name Sus scrofa (pig). RNAcentral's name for it is "lncRNA (ENSSSCG00065073064.1)". The record is from RNAcentral. Lineage: Eukaryota; Metazoa; Chordata; Mammalia; Artiodactyla; Suidae.